UACGGAGGGCGCAAGCGUUGUUCGGAAUUACUGGGCGUAAAGCGCGUGUAGGCGGCUUGGCAAGUCGGGUGUGAAAUCCCGGGGCUCAACCCCGGAACUGCAUUCGAAACUGCCUGGCUGGAGUCCCGGAGAGGGUGGUGGAAUUCCCAGUGUAGAGGUGAAAUUCGUAGAUAUUGGGAGGAACACCAGUGGCGAAGGCGGCCACCUGGACGGUGAAUGACGAUGAGACGCGAAAGCGUGGGGAGCAAACAGG
This 253-nucleotide ribosomal RNA is filed under the name uncultured bacterium. Its description in RNAcentral is "partial 16S ribosomal RNA". It matches the Rfam family "Bacterial small subunit ribosomal RNA", at positions 524 to 776 of the family's 1533-position model. The record is from RNAcentral.